AAUUUUAUGUCUUUGGAAUGGAAAGAGAAGUUCGUUCUGUGGAUGCUUUCUUGGCUCCUUCCUGUCCUCUACUAAAUGUCUUUAUGAUUAUCUACCAACUCUGUAUUUUUAACUGGUUAUUAUCGAAUGAAAUGGCCGGGUCGAAAUUGAGUACUCUUGUAGAUUACAUUGAAUAACAACAGUACCUGGUACAUCAUCGAAUUGAUAUAUCGGAUCUCAGUAGGGUCUCCGCAUGAUCCUUUCCUUUUGACAGGGUUCCGGGUAUGGAUACCUGGCAGCAACACAAUGCUUGCCUGCAUUAACAAGAGUGGUAGGCCUAGAUAGAUGGAAAUUCUAUAAUGCAUAGGAUGAAGGCAUUGAUGAGGAGGCAUUUUGUAUGUUGGACGAUGGAACAAUAAAGGAGCUGAUUCCAAAAAUUGGUACCAGAAUGAAGUUUACAAGGAAGAACCGCAAUCUACUACUAUGUAAUAGUCAUGAUAGUAGUCUUGGGGGGAACAGAGUGUAGUUGCAAUGCAACUUCUACCGAUCAUGCUGCCCCCCCCCCCCCCCCAGGCCAACGAAAGGUCAUAGACCAUCCGUGACUGAGGCAAUGUCAUCGUUCAUACAGUAUCAAGCAGGUAUAGAGUUAUUGCCUACAUGUAGUUUUUGCGAUUUGAGCAUGGCGACCUUGAAUAUUGCAUACAGAUUUUUGAUUGUAUUAUAACAAAUACAUAAUUUUUGGAAUAUCCUACUGGACUGCAUUAUUGUGUGGCAAUUCAUUGACGACUUUGGUGAUCUCUGAUGAAUUUCUGUUGUAAAUACAUGUAGAUGUUAAUCCGACUAAAUCUGCUAGACUAUAAAGAGGAAGAUCCUUUGAUAUUUGCCAAGGUCUGGGCAUUUAUAGUGUGAGGAUACAUGUAUCUUGGGAUUACUGUCAAGGGGCAAUGUACAGCUCUAGAAAUAAUUAUUAUACCACCUGUCUUUCUAGCCUAUAGCUCAUUAUUCUCACUCUCUCUGUAAUAAUUCUUUCCAGAGCUGUAUCUAGGGUUUUUUUUCCUGAAACCAUUUUACUGUUUUCAUAUUGAUAGUAAUGGACUGUUAACUUUUAUUGUCAUUGAAAGAUUUCUACUUUAGAUGCAAUUUGAAUGUCAUUUGAAAACUAUAGUUAAUUAUGAAUUUCUGUUGUAAAUACAUGUAGAUGUUAAUCAGACUAAAUCUGCAUUCAAUUUGAAUGUAUGAAUUGAAAACUAUAGUUAAUGAUAAAUUUCUGUUGUAAAUACAUGUAGAUGUUAAUCAGACUAAAUCUGCUAGAGUAUAAAGAGGAAGAUCCUAUGAUAUUUGCAAAGGUCUGGCCAUUUAUAGUGUGCGGAUAUCUUGGGAUUACUGUAUAGGGGGCAAUGUAUCAAGGGGUUAUUGUUCUGAAAACGUUUUACUGCUUUCAAAUUGAAUGAAUGUGAAAUGAAUUGUUAACUUAAUUGUCAUUGAUAGAUUUCUACUUUACAUGCCAGUCACAAAUUUGAAUGUAAUGAGUUGAAAACUAUAGUUAAUGAUAAAUUUCUGUUGUAAAUACAUGUAGAUG
Molecule: long non-coding RNA, 1558 nt
Organism: Lineus longissimus
Lineage: Eukaryota; Metazoa; Nemertea; Pilidiophora; Heteronemertea; Lineidae
Exons: 3
Source: RefSeq, a predicted model, not a curated record